UACGGAGGGUGCAAGCGUUAUCCGGAUUCACUGGGUUUAAAGGGUGCGUAGGUGGGCAGGUAAGUCAGUGGUGAAAUCUCUGGGCUUAACCCGGAAACUGCCGUUGAUACUAUCUGUCUUGAAUGUAGUGGAGGUGAGCGGAAUAUGUCAUGUAGCGGUGAAGUGCUUAGAUAUGACAUAGAACACCAAUUGCGAAGGCAGCUCGCUACACAAUUAUUGACGCUGAGGCACGAAAGCGUGGGGAUCAAACAGG
This 253-nucleotide ribosomal RNA is filed under the name uncultured bacterium. Its description in RNAcentral is "partial 16S ribosomal RNA". It matches the Rfam family "Bacterial small subunit ribosomal RNA", at positions 524 to 776 of the family's 1533-position model. The record is from RNAcentral.